GGAUUUUUAUUUGUGCAUGUGUUCCUGUCAUUGAUCUCUUUGAUGACAUUCUCAUUCAUAGAAAGAGCGUGAUUUAUGAGUUUAGGAAGAAUUGCAUCCAGCCCUUCCAGCUAUUGCCCACGCAUCCCAGCUCCACAGAGUGUUGCGGAUCAGAGAAACAACACACCUCAAAUGAAAUGGAAACAAACUACUCCAGACACAUGGAUUCAUUGACCGCGUUUCAGAUAUACCCCAGAAUAUUCAAAAUCAAAAGGCGACGCGAUCUGUUUGUUUUCUUGGAAUCUUUCAGCACAUGGGAGCUAAUCCAAGGCGCACUUUGUUAGCCUUUGUAUUUUUAAGGACGUGUUUCAGAAAACGACCUGGUGGACAUAUUUGCGCUGAGUUACAGAAGAAUACGGUGUUUAAAAUGAGUCUUCCACUCGUGUAACAAGCCAGCUUCUAUGGCAGGCACGUUCCCAUGUAUAAUAGAUUAUAUUUUGCCUGUAACAGCCGAAACUGCACAUUAUGGUUUUUGUCACGAGUUAGAAAAUCCAAGACUUGCGUUCACACACAUAGACAACCUGUUAUAUGUACAUUAAAAAGAAGAAAUCUUGAUGUGGAGGGGUUUAGUUAUUACCUUUGUUGGUGAGACUCAUCGGGUACUUUGAAUUGACUUGUGAGAACCUUUGCAAUAAAGAAAUUGAAUGUGAUUUUUUUCGCUCUAAUAAAUCUAUCAAAUUACCAAAA
Pelodiscus sinensis (Chinese soft-shelled turtle) is the source of this 726-nucleotide non-coding RNA. The record is from RefSeq and is a predicted model, not a curated record. Lineage: Eukaryota; Metazoa; Chordata; Testudines; Trionychidae.